RNAcentral lists this ribosomal RNA (501 nucleotides) under uncultured bacterium. RNAcentral's name for it is "partial 16S ribosomal RNA". It matches the Rfam family "Bacterial small subunit ribosomal RNA", at positions 28 to 507 of the family's 1533-position model. The record is from RNAcentral.
GACGAACGCUGGCGGCGUGCUUAACACAUGCAAGUCGAACGGUGAAGCACCUUCCUUUUGGUGGGUGUGGAUGAGUGGCGAACGGGUGAGUAACACGUGAGUAACCUGCCCCCUUCUUCUGGAUAACCGCAUGAAAGUGUGGCUAAUACGGGAUAUUCUGUGCCUGCUGCAUGGUGGGUGUGGGAAAGAUGCGCUUUUGGGUGUUUUUGGUGGGGGAUGGGCUCGCGGCCUAUCAGCUUGUUGGUGGGGUGAUGGCCUACCAAGGCGGUGACGGGUAGCCGGCCGGAGAGGGUGGACGGUCACACUGGGACUGAGACACGGCCCAGACUCCUACGGGAGGCAGCAGUGGGGAAUAGGGCACAAUGGGCGCAAGCCUGAUGCAGCGACGCCGCGUGAGGGAUGGAGGCCUUCGGGGUGUAAACCUCUUUCGCCAGUGAAGCAGGCCUGUCCCUUGUGGGUGGGUUGACGGUAGCUGGAUAAGAAGCGCCGGCUAACUACGUG